Molecule: ribosomal RNA, 460 nt
Filed under: uncultured bacterium
Lineage: Bacteria
Description: bacterial SSU rRNA
Rfam family: Bacterial small subunit ribosomal RNA
Source: RNAcentral
UACGGAAGGCAGCAGUGGGGAAUAUUGCACAAUGGGCGAAAGCCUGAUGCAGCUAUGCCGCGUGUAUGAAGAAGGCCUUAGGGUUGUAAAGUACUUUCAUCGGGGAGGAAAAAACAAAACUAAUAAUUUUAUUUCUUGACGUUACCCGAAAAAGAAGCACCGGCUAACUCCGUGCCAGCAGCCGCGGUAAUACGGAGGGUGCUAGCGUUAAUCAGAAUUACUGGGCGUAAAGAGCACGUAGGUGGUUUUUUUAAGUCAGAUGUGAAAUCCCUGGGCUUAACCUAGGAACUGCAUUUUGAAACUGAAAUACUAGAGUAUCGUAGAGGGAGGUAGAAAUUCUAGGUGUAGCGGUGAAAUGCGUAGAUAUCUGGAGGAAUACCUGUGGCGAAAGCGGCCUCCUAAACGAAUACUGACACUGAGUGCGAAAAGCGUGGGGAAGCGAAAACAGGGAUUAGAUACC